RNAcentral lists this long non-coding RNA (298 nucleotides) under Medicago truncatula (barrel medic). RNAcentral's name for it is "lncRNA gene20277". The record is from RNAcentral. Lineage: Eukaryota; Viridiplantae; Streptophyta; Magnoliopsida; Fabales; Fabaceae.
AUGAGAGAAAACCAGAGUCAACAUCUUUACCAAAUAAACAUUCGCCUAGUUCCAAGAAAUCUGUUGCAAGAGCUGAGGGAGCAAGUUUCACUACUUCUACAAUUACAAGACUAACGUCCAAACUAUACUUUUUGAAGGAUCGCCGUAGUCAGUUUUCAAAUGAAAUACGAAACAUGAAUAAAGGAAAAGCACUUGAACUUCAGCUACCACCUCCAUCUCCCAACGAACGUCAAUCGCCAAAUAAGUCUCUACUUCGAUCCCCAAAUAUGUCUCGAGAAAACGAACGUCAAUCGCCAGU